GCCGGGUGUGGUGGCGCAUGCCUGUAAUCCCAGUUACUAAGGAGGCUGAGGCAGGAGAAUUGCUUGAACCCAGGAGGUGGAGUUGCAUUGAGUUGUGAUUGUGCCACUGCACUCCAGCCUGGGUGACAGAGUGAGACUAUGUCUCAA
Molecule: unclassified non-coding RNA, 147 nt
Organism: Pongo abelii (Sumatran orangutan)
Lineage: Eukaryota; Metazoa; Chordata; Mammalia; Primates; Hominidae
Rfam family: Metazoan signal recognition particle RNA
About the family: The signal recognition particle (SRP) is a universally conserved ribonucleoprotein.
Source: Ensembl